AUUGUUUUGGCAGAUUAGUGCAAUGAAUUUAGAAUUCAUAUAUGUAAUAUUUUACAAACAAUA
Molecule: transfer RNA, 63 nt
Filed under: Haliplus flavicollis
Lineage: Eukaryota; Metazoa; Arthropoda; Insecta; Coleoptera; Haliplidae
Description: tRNA-Leu
Source: RNAcentral